This 222-nucleotide unclassified non-coding RNA is filed under the name uncultured fungus. Its description in RNAcentral is "sequence contains ITS2". Lineage: Eukaryota; Fungi. The record is from RNAcentral.
AACGCACAUUGCGCCCCCUCUAACCGGGGGGCAUGCCUGUCCGAGCGUCAUUUGUACCCAAUGGACAGUCUUCUGUUCGUGUUGGGCCUCGUCCGGCCGGACGUAGCCUCGAAGAAAUGGGCCCUGUGAGCGGAUGAGAUCCCCGAUGGACUGACCGUUUGUGGGUGCCCGAACUCCUCCAGUGUGGACCUCGGAUCAGGUAGGACUACCGCCUGAACUUAA